Molecule: ribosomal RNA, 433 nt
Filed under: uncultured bacterium
Lineage: Bacteria
Description: partial 16S ribosomal RNA
Rfam family: Bacterial small subunit ribosomal RNA
Source: RNAcentral
AACGAACGCUGGCGGCAUGCCUAACACAUGCAAGUCGAACGAGACCUUCGGGUCUAGUGGCGCACGGGUGCGUAACGCGUGGGAACCUGCCCUUAGGUUCGGAAUAACUCCCCGAAAGGGGUGCUAAUACAGGAUAAUGUCUUCGGACCAAAGAGUUAUCGCCUUUGGAUGGGCCCGCGUUGGAUUAGCUAGUUGGUAGGGUAAAAGCCUACCAAGGCGACGAUGCAUAGCUGGUCUGAGAGGAUGAUCAGCCACACUGGGACUGAGACACGGCCCAGACUCCUACGGGAGGGAGCAGUGGGGAAUAUUGGACAAGGGGCGAAAGCCUGAUCCAGCAAUGCCGCGUGAGUGAUGAAGGCCUUAGGGUUGUAAAGCUCUUUUACCCGGGAUGAUAAUGACAGUACCGGGAGAAUAAGCUCCGGCUAACUCCGUG